UACAGAGGGUGCGAGCGUUAAUCGGAAUUACUGGGCGUGAAGCGUGCGUAGACGGUUAUUUAAGUCGGGUGUGAGAGCCCCGGGCUCAACCUGGGAAUUGCAUUCGAGACUGAAUAGCUAGGGUACGGUAGAGGGAAGUGGAAUUUCCGGUGUAGCGGUGAAAUGCGUAGAUAUCGGAAGGAACAUCAGUGGCGAAAGCGACUUCCUGGACCAGUACCGACGUUCAGGCACGAAAGCGUGGGGAGCAAACAGG
RNAcentral lists this ribosomal RNA (253 nucleotides) under uncultured bacterium. RNAcentral's name for it is "partial 16S ribosomal RNA". It matches the Rfam family "Bacterial small subunit ribosomal RNA", at positions 524 to 776 of the family's 1533-position model. The record is from RNAcentral.